This 511-nucleotide ribosomal RNA is filed under the name uncultured archaeon. RNAcentral's name for it is "bacterial SSU rRNA". It matches the Rfam family "Archaeal small subunit ribosomal RNA", at positions 345 to 859 of the family's 1478-position model. The record is from RNAcentral.
AAACUUCACAAUGGGGGAAACCCCGAUGAGGGAAUUCCAAGUGCCAGCACAUUGUGUUGGCUGUUCUCUGGUCUAAAAAACCGGAGAAGUAAGGGCCGGGUAAGACGGGUGCCAGCCGCCGCGGUAAUACCCGCGGCCCAAGUGGUGGUCGAUAUUAUUGAGCCUAAAACGUCCGUAGCCGGUUUUGUAAAUCCUUGGGUAAAUCGACCAGCUUAACUGUUCGAAGUCCGGGGAGACUGCAAGACUUGGGAUCGGGAGAGGUGAGAGGUACUUCUGGGGUAGGGGUAAAAUCCUGUAAUCCUAGAAGGACCACCGGUGGCGAAGGCGUCUCACUAGAACGAAUCCGACGGUGAGGGACGAAGCCCUGGGGCGCAAACGGGAUAGAUAACCCGGUAGUCCAGGGUGUAAACGCUGCGGGCUUGGUGUUGGGGGUCCUUUGAGGGCGCCCAGUGCCGGAGAGAAGUUGUUAAGCCUGCUGCUUGGGGAGUACGUCCGCAAGGAUGAAACUUAA